Oncorhynchus keta (chum salmon) is the source of this 726-nucleotide long non-coding RNA. RefSeq lists it as uncharacterized. NCBI's taxonomy places the organism in Eukaryota, Metazoa, Chordata, Actinopteri, Salmoniformes, Salmonidae. The record is from RefSeq and is a predicted model, not a curated record. The transcript has 4 exons.
GGGGAGUGUCAAGUAACGGGUUAGCCUAUAUAGGUGUCCAUACACUCUACAAUGUGAGGGGAGUGUCAAGUAACUGGUUAGCCUAUAUAGGUGUCCAUACACUCUACAAUGUGAGGGGAGUGUCAAGUAACUGGUUAGCCUAUAUAGGUGUCCAUACACUCUACAAUGUGAGGGGAGUGUCAAGUAACUGGUUAGCCUAUAUAGGUGUCCAUACACUCUACAAUGUGAGGGGAGUGUCAAGUAACGGGUUAGCCUAUAUAGGUGUCCAUACACUCUACAAUGUGAGGGGAGUGUCAAGUAACUGGUUAGCCUAUAUAGGUGUCCAUACACUCUACAAUGUGAGGGGAGUGUCAAGUAACUGGUUAGCCUAUAUAGGUGUCCAUACACUCUACAAUGUGAGGGGAGUGUCAAGUAACUGGUUAGCCUAUAUAGGUGUCCAUACACUCUACAAUGUGAGGGGAGUGUCAAGUAACUGGUUAGCCUAUAUAGGUGUCCAUACACUCUACAAUGUGAGGGGAGUGUCAAGUAACGGGUUAGCCUAUAUAGGUGUCCAUACACUCUACAAUGUGAGGGGAGUGUCAAGUAACUGGUUAGCCUAUAUAGGUGUCCAUACACUCUACAAUGUGAGGGGAGUGUCAAGUAACUGGUUAGCCUAUAUAGGUGUCCAUACACUCUACAAUGUGAGGGGAGUGUCAAGUAACGGGUUAGCCUAUAUAGGUGUCCAUA